CUGGCUCAGGAUGAACGCUAGCUACAGGCUUAACACAUGCAAGUCGAGGGGCAGCAUUGGGAUAGCUUGCUAUUCAGAUGGCGACCGGCGCACGGGUGAGUAACGCGUAUCCAACCUUCCUGCCAGUAGGGAACAGCCCGGCGAAAGUCGGAUUAAUGCCCUAUGUUCUUCAAUGCGGACAUCUAAGUUGAAGGAAAGAUUCAUCGCUGGCAGAUGGGGAUGCGUCCGAUUAGCUUGCCGGCGGGGUAACGGCCCACCGGGGCGACGAUCGGUAGGGGUUCUGAGAGGAAGGUCCCCCACACUGGUACUGAGACACGGACCAGACUCCUACGGGAGGCAGCAGUGAGGAAUAUUGGUCAAUGGGCGUAAGCCUGAACCAGCCAAGUAGCGUGCAAGGAUGACGGCCCUACGGGUUGUAAACUGCUUUUAUGCGGGGAUAAAGUGCGGCACGUGUGCCGCUUUGCAGGUACCGCAUGAAUAAGGGCCGGCUAAUUCCGUGCCAGCCGCUGC
RNAcentral lists this ribosomal RNA (510 nucleotides) under uncultured bacterium. RNAcentral's name for it is "bacterial SSU rRNA". It matches the Rfam family "Bacterial small subunit ribosomal RNA", at positions 19 to 518 of the family's 1533-position model. The record is from RNAcentral.